This is a long non-coding RNA of Centrocercus urophasianus (Greater sage-grouse), 1165 nucleotides long. RefSeq lists it as uncharacterized. NCBI's taxonomy places the organism in Eukaryota, Metazoa, Chordata, Aves, Galliformes, Phasianidae. The record is from RefSeq and is a predicted model, not a curated record. The transcript has 4 exons.
CCUGAGGCGAGCCAUGAGUCAGCCAGAGGAGCACAGCAUUCCAAUAAAUGACAGAGGCAAGACUUGGAAGACAGCAAGAUGGAACAGUACAGACUGUUGGAUACCUGCCUGGGAAAGAAAAAGCAAUGAACACACAUUAUACUUGAGUCUAAAAACGACUUCCAGGAACUCAAAAAACCAUGCACCUUGCCAGAAGCAGUAACUGCUGUGCUUUUAAGAAUGAAGUGGAUAGGAUACCCUAUGGAGAAGAACGUUCACUACAUCUCAGCAGGGUGCUCCCAAGUACAAAAUAUUAUAGUUCAAAAUUCCACCAGGUGAAUCGGACAUUUCAAACCAAGCAAAAUAACCCAUGGAUGAAGAAAUACUCUUCCUUCUCUUUACAGUGCUCAAUGAAAAAUGGCUAAUUGAAUUGACUAACUUCUCUCAAAUUUUACCUUUUUUGUGAGAAAACAGAACAAGCUUCAGUCUAAAUACUGCAGAAAGACUAUCUAUGUAUGAGUAUUUAUGAAUGUAAGGGAAGAAAGGAGGAAAAUUAAUUAAAAUAAUUAACUAGAAAGAGGAGAAUAGCUUGUGGACAGUUACUUCAAUAGGCCUUUUUUAUAUAUAAAAUGUUAACAUCUGGUUAAGAAAAAGAAAACUCCCAUUUACUGCCCUUGAUAACUCAAAAAUAAACAGAACAGAAUUUAUGUUGUAAGGAAUUAGAAUUGAGUUGCAUAAGCAUAAAGGCACAAUUUUUAAAAUCUUCCACAGAUGUUCAUGAAAAAGCACUUACAUGCACUGUUGAAAAGUUCAGAGUAUACCCCUAAGCAUACAUUCUGUCAAAAUAAGCAUAAGAUGCAAACCUUGGAUGACUCUGCUCACAAAAAAUGUUGACAAAAACAGUUAACAGGGAAAGAAUGCUCUAUUCCAAAUCUGUUUGUCUGAAAGAUAUUAAUUUGUUUUUGCAAAACAAUGCUCUAGUAAAAAGUAUUCUUACCAGUGGGCAUUCCAAUAAUAAAGCAUCUUCUAUUUUUUCUGACUUAGAACACUUUGGCUUUUGAUAAAGUAUUCUUGGCUCUUGUGCAAUGCUGGAGGAAAAUGAUUGCUAAUCAUUAGUCUACUUUAUAAACUACUUUCUAUCACAAGUAAUUUCAUACACUUAUAUAAACCCUACUCUUUUGGUAAG